CUGCGUCGCCACCGGGGCUGUCCUCUUCAGCGCCAGCUGCAGGCUGCCGGGCGCUUAGGGUCAAAGCUGAAGGUAUUGGAAAGAACUGUCUGCCGUCUGCUGGAGCAUUCCUGUGAUAGAGCCGCACUCCACACUGGCCUGGGGAAAGGCUAGGCCAGGCGGGAGAGAGGGCUCGUGGUUUUCAUUUCCCCAACACCUGGAUGCAGUCAAACACCUGGCCAAAUCUGAGAAAAUCUGACAAGCCUUUGUGAUGGGAUUUGGAAGAAAUUCCCUGCAGAUCCUGGCACAGUUUAAAGCUGUCCGCUUUGAGUUAGGACUUGUUAAGGAGGGUUGUGUGAGCUGAAACCCGAGACAACCCUCUUUGCUUCUAUCUGGAGCCCACAUCUUGCCUGGAAAUGGGGCAUGACCAAGCGAAGGGGUCGCUUGCCGUUUGUAUUAAAAGGGGGAAAGCGGCCUGCGUGCCUGCCAGCCCCCACAUGCUUUCUUCAUUAAAGCCAAGCACAGA
Long non-coding RNA from Psammomys obesus (fat sand rat), 505 nucleotides. RefSeq lists it as uncharacterized. The record is from RefSeq and is a predicted model, not a curated record. The transcript has 3 exons. Lineage: Eukaryota; Metazoa; Chordata; Mammalia; Rodentia; Muridae.